GAAAAUGGGCUAUUUCUCUGCAAGGGAGCAGAUUCAAAUGGCAGGCAAGGUUCUGAUUCUUUUCUCAUCUCUAGCUCCACAGGGCAGCUUUAGUGCACAGCAAAACUGUCCCUGGGUCAAAAAAAUAUUAUGAACCACAGCACAGCCCUGUACUUUUCUCAAUUGCAGAAAGAAUUGCUUUACCGACAGCCUUCAGAUGUAAUUUUCCCAGUGAAAAAUCCCCUUGCCAGAGCAGAUGUUCCUUGGAAGAAACACCGAAGUCUUUCAGGAUCCAAGCCCAGUGCAGAGCAUAUAGAAGAUACCCAGUAAAGAUUUCCUGCUUGGUGGAGUGAAAAAAAACACAGCCUUCACCUCUCAUUGCUUGACCGCUGGUGAGUUGGGAAAGGGAAAAAAGUUGUGUGGGAGAUAUUUGUGGACUGAAUAGAGGCCAGGAAAAGAGAAUGAAUAUCCUCUCUUACCUUUACCUUCAGUUUUUAAAUUUAACUUAUAUUAUUAAUUAUGACAAUCAAUAUUUGUAUUAGAAUAUUAUGUGACCUAUUAUAAUAUGUUUAUUUACCACUAUUUUUGUAUUUGUUUUGUAUAUAAUUAUAGCAGCUAAGAAAUACCCAGCAUAUCCAUAAGUCACUAUGUGCCCAUAAGCUAUACAUACUCAAUAUUUAACAUCAAACAGGACUUCUGUCAUGUAAGAAGAUUUUAUCAAAUGCAACAUUCAGUCCAAAUGACAGUAAAGCAUAUAACACAGAUUUGAUUCUCCUUCAGUGCCAACUUCCUCUCUCUCUCCCUAACGGAAGUGAAAACUUUGACCUAAUGAAAGUGGUGAAACAAACCCUGUUCACAUUGAUUUGCCAACCAGAAGGCCCACAGUCUAAAUACAGGAACUGGACACAGGAAUUUCAGUAUUUGUUUUGCAUUAUAAAGAUAUUGGAGCCAUGGAGGGAGUUUUUUGAAUUUUGAUUAUUAGAGAUUCAAACAAUGUUUACAUACAAGAUACCAGUCUGUAUGACACUAUAUACUGGCAGAGAGCCAGCCUGUACACAUACAGCCCCUAUUGUGUGCAGCAGACAGCCACCAUCGGGGUUGGCUUUUAUAAAUUAAAUUAACAAACAUUUAAUGGAAACCAGCUUUAACAGAUAGCUUGGCCAGAUUUAGGAGAAAGUUUUGUUUGUUGUUGUUUUAAUUCCUUCCCCACUGACAGCUGUUGAUAGAACCAGGCAAUUACUAACCCUU
This 1227-nucleotide long non-coding RNA is filed under the name Sus scrofa (pig). RNAcentral's name for it is "lncRNA (ENSSSCG00070019584.1)". The record is from RNAcentral. Lineage: Eukaryota; Metazoa; Chordata; Mammalia; Artiodactyla; Suidae.